GGGGUUGUAGCUCAGUGGUAGAGCGCUCGCCUAGCACGUGCAAGGCCCUGGGUUCAAUCCUCAGCACCA
This 69-nucleotide transfer RNA is filed under the name Ictidomys tridecemlineatus (thirteen-lined ground squirrel). RNAcentral describes it as "Spermophilus tridecemlineatus (thirteen-lined ground squirrel) tRNA". It matches the Rfam family "tRNA". From Rfam's summary of the family: Transfer RNA (tRNA) molecules are approximately 80 nucleotides in length. Their secondary structure includes four short double-helical elements and three loops (D, anti-codon, and T loops). Further hydrogen bonds mediate the characteristic L-shaped molecular structure. tRNAs have two regions of fundamental functional importance: the anti-codon, which is responsible for specific mRNA codon recognition, and the 3' end, to which the tRNAs corresponding amino acid is attached (by aminoacyl-tRNA synthetases). tRNAs cope with the degeneracy of the genetic code in two manners: having more than one tRNA (with a specific anti-codon) for a particular amino acid; and 'wobble' base-pairing, i.e. permitting non-standard base-pairing at the 3rd anti-codon position. Lineage: Eukaryota; Metazoa; Chordata; Mammalia; Rodentia; Sciuridae. The record is from Rfam by way of RNAcentral.